This is a long non-coding RNA of Camelina sativa (false flax), 596 nucleotides long. RefSeq lists it as uncharacterized. Lineage: Eukaryota; Viridiplantae; Streptophyta; Magnoliopsida; Brassicales; Brassicaceae. The record is from RefSeq and is a predicted model, not a curated record.
ACAGAACCCUAAAUUUGGUUUCUCAAUUUCUCCAAACAGCCGUCGCCAUUCUCUGUCGGAAGAAAGAUUCAAACUUCAAAACCCCAAAAGAGUUGAACCGAGAACACAAAGGAUGGGUUUUUGAAUGCUGACUCAUUGUUCUUCGGAUCAAGACUAGCCUUUUUGAGGAUGAGGAUUGUGGCAAAACACUGAGAAAGGAAGCAGACAACUCGGCAUUACCUGGAUCUUGUGAAUGCCCUCCUCCAUUUCUCUCUUCUCAACGGCAAAAGCUGAGGAACUUUUUGGAGAAGCGGUGCAAGAUAUGCAGAUGGUCAAGAAAAUGCAACCUGAUGAAAGCCAAAAUCUUGAUUCCAUAACUCAAGCUAAACAUAAAGACCAGCAGAGUAGGCAUAAUAGUGUUAUGGCAAAUAAUUUUUGAAAGAAUUUGCUGUGAUAUCAAUAUAAACCUCUUUCUGAGAUUAAACAUCCUACUCAAUGGACACCAAUGUACAAGAAGAUAUUGUUAUGUUGAAUGUGUAAAUGUGUAAAACAACUACUGGCACCAAAGAGGAAAAGUACAAAAAAGUUUAGGUGGUGCCUAAUCUGUAAUCCUGUUA